CUAAAUGAAUCCUAUAUUUAAUAUCUUCAACCAACAACGUCUACAACUAUUAAUAGUUAUCAAAUAUAUCUUGGAAUUCACUGAAGAUGAAGCAAUAAAAAAGGAUAAAACAAAGUCAGACCUUCAUUGAAUUGUUAGAAAUUGUGGUGCAGAAUCAAAGUGAAGUUUUCUAACUGAACUAAAAACUCUCAACAAAUGGCAAGCUGCGAUGAACCAAUGAAACAAGUGUUUCCUUAAGUAUGAAUGCCGAAGAAAUAAUACAUGUAUAUGACACACACAGGAAAGAAACACUUUCCAUAUUGAAUCAGGAUCAAUCCUUGUUGACCAUGAGGAUAUCUCUCAAGUCUGAGCUAUGUCGGAUCCUCCUUGAGUGACAGUUCCAUAGAAACUCCCGUGCACCUUUGGCCAUAUAAAUGAGAUAGAUUAAUAACACAAACCUGAAAAAAACAAUGAAUCUCCCUUGAGAGCAGAGAAACAGGAAGCACGAGAGGCAAAAUGAGAGGGAGAGGGCUCACCGAGAGGAUUUUCUUAUCGUCACAUCAGCGACAUCCGCUCGAGCCACAUGUCACAAGAAUCGCCCCAACCAUAGACAAAUAAAGCCGAGUCUCCAUGUAGAGAAACAACUAAUGUGAACGUGAGACUGUAAAACAAUUAGGAUGAGUAGCGUGCUAAUUGAUUGUCAACAUAAAUAAUACUUGUAACCAGUGGCAAAUGGCAGUAUACUAUCAGGAAGUGAAGUACAUUGACAUUUUGUAAGCUAUACUAAGGUUAUAGGAUAAGCACACAUUAAAAAAGUAGCAAGAUUAUGGAUUUCUUGAAUAUCAACAAAGUAAUUGGAAUUCCAAAUAUAUGAAGUAUUAGUUAUUACAUAGAUUAGAAAUAGACACGACAACCAUGUAAAAUUUGCCGAUUAAUUAAAGAGAUUCAAGAUGAUUUGGUGCCUUGAAAGAAACCUACACAUCUUAAUUAGCAAACCAGUGACAAUAUUGAAUCGAUGCUGAAGUGUACUCUUCUUUGCUAAGUAUGGAAUUAAUCAAAUAUGGCAGGGAAACAAUCAGAACAGCAAUGGGCGACUCUCGUCGACCAACAUAGGCAACAACUAAGCAAAAAUUGUACUGCAUAAUUGUUGAUAAAGGGCCUGCCGGUAGAGUGUCAGGAGAUGCUGCUCCAAGCAUAUGAUUUCUAGCUCUAGUACUGUAAUCUCCUUUAUGAGCUUCUCAGUAAGCUGACCUGACUUGAAAUAUAGAUAUAGGUUCUUUGAAUCAACAAUCCAAACAUACUCUCAUUCAAAAGACUGCAUAAAAAUUGGAAAGUAACUCGUGAAGAUCACGUGCCUUAACUCUGAAUUUUCUAAUUCUUCCGGCAUCACUAUAUUAGGUGGACAUGGGAGUCGAUGAAUCCCGGGAGAACCAUAUUCCCACUGAGAUUUAGCUCAUACAUUUGGCGGCCCUUGAAUCCAUGUACUCCACUUCACAUCCCACAAUCAAUUUUGAGCAGAACACAAGGGACAAUGUACAGUGACAGAACAAGUGGUUUUGAGAAAUUGAUUACCGGCACAAUAGAAUAAAACAAAACGAAAGAGUUCUGUCACUGUGAUGGACAAAACAAAACGAAAGAUUACCGGCACAAUAGAAUAAAACAAACAAACCUAAUCUCUAGGGGGACAGGGGCAGAAAAUCGGACGGAGACCUUGGGGGAGUCGUAGGAGCCGACGCAGAGCAGGCGGCCCCCGUGGACGGCCAUGGCACCGGCGAAAGAGAGGACCCUCUUAGAGAGCUCCAUGGCUUGGGCGACCUUGGAAGCCGUGAUGAUAUGCUUCAUGUUGUACUAACCGAGACGCCGCCUCCUCCUCCCCUCGAAGAUCCUAGUCCCACCCCCACUACAGAUCACCGUAGCCCCAUGAUCCUUCUCCUCCGUCCCACCUUCCCAGCUUCUCCAGCAGCCAUCUCCACACCCACGACAUCUCCACAUCCCACCAAACCACACGGGGCGGCCGGCCGAUCUGGGCGGAGCCAGUGCCUCCCUCGCAGAGCGCCCCCCUGCUCUGGCUCUUGCAGAUGGUCGUGGAUGGGGAGGAGAAGAUCUCGAUGGUGGUGGGAGGCGGGGAUGAAGACCGCCGCAUCGGGGCACGUCAUGUCCAUAGCAGCUGAUGGCGUGAGGGAAGGGAACGCGUGGGACCUGGCCAAACGGGCCGUGUCUGCCG
RNAcentral lists this long non-coding RNA (2203 nucleotides) under Hordeum vulgare. RNAcentral's name for it is "long non-coding RNA (HVUL_LNC018869)". The record is from RNAcentral. Lineage: Eukaryota; Viridiplantae; Streptophyta; Magnoliopsida; Poales; Poaceae.